UAAACUUACCAGUAGGUGGAC
RNAcentral lists this unclassified non-coding RNA (21 nucleotides) under Dictyostelium discoideum. Lineage: Eukaryota; Evosea; Eumycetozoa; Dictyosteliales; Dictyosteliaceae. The record is from RNAcentral.